This is a non-coding RNA of Oryzias latipes (Japanese medaka), 45 nucleotides long. The record is from Rfam. NCBI's taxonomy places the organism in Eukaryota, Metazoa, Chordata, Actinopteri, Beloniformes, Adrianichthyidae.
CCAAAGGCCCUUUUAAGGGCCACCCACAUCUUUUCCUGAUGAGCU